RNA transcript from Populus trichocarpa (black cottonwood), 2191 nucleotides. It is a transcript of the gene named glyoxylate/hydroxypyruvate reductase HPR3, with no coding region annotated. Lineage: Eukaryota; Viridiplantae; Streptophyta; Magnoliopsida; Malpighiales; Salicaceae. The transcript is spliced from 4 exons. The record is from RefSeq and is a predicted model, not a curated record.
AUGUGUGUCUUGUUAAAAUAUAUAACUUGGCAGAAUCGCCAUGGUUUUGUCGAGGAGUGCCUCGUCUCUAUCAAAAGAGAAGGAAAGAAAAACCCCCUUCUCUCCCGAGCUUCUGUUCUCAAGAUGGCAGUCUCAACUGAUUGUCACAAAGCCCAGCAAGAUUUCCCCAAAGUCCUGAUUCUAAAACCAAUUUCAUUCCUCGCUCACGUUGGUGAACGACACGUUGCAUCUAACAAAUUCACUUUCUUGAAAGCCUAUGAGUCCUCACUCCCUCUACACCAAUUCUUGUCCACUCACUCUCCCUCUAUAAAAGCCAUCCUUUCCUCUGUUGGCACACCCAUAACCGCUGACAUCCUGCAGCUGUUGCCAGAGGUCGGUGUGGUUGUCACUACUAGUGUCGGACUUAACCAGGUUGACCUCCCUGAGUGCCGCCGGCGUGGUAUUAAGGUUGCCAAUGCAGGCAGUGUUUUUUCAGAUGACGUGGCUGAUUUUGCUGUUGGGUUGUUAAUUGAUGUUUUGAGGAAGGUCUCGGCGAGUGAUGGAUAUGUGAGGAAAGGGCUUUGGGCUACUAAAGGGGACUACCCUCUUGGUUCUAAGUUGGGAGGCAAGCGAAUUGGGAUUGUUGGAUUGGGAAAUAUUGGAUUUGCAGUUGCUAAAAGGUUAGAGGCUUUUGGGUGCAGUAUCUCAUAUAAUUCCAGGAAGAGAAAACCGCAUGUUUCAUACCCUUUCUACGAAAGUGUCUGUGAACUUGCAGCUAAUUGCGAUGUUCUUGUGAUAUGUUGUGAAUUAACUGACCAAACCCGCCACAUGAUCAACAAGGAAGUACUGUCAGCAUUGGGGAAGGAAGGUGUCAUUGUAAAUAUCGGACGCGGGGCUAUCAUCAAUGAGAAGGAAAUGGUGCAGUGUUUGGUGCAAGGAGAGAUUGCUGGCGCUGGUUUAGAUGUGUUUGAAAAUGAGCCAGAUGUUCCUGUGGAGCUCUUUGCAAUGGACAAUGUUGUUCUGUCACCACAUAUUGCCGUCUUUACUCCAGAAUCAUUUUUGGAUUUAAUGGACCUCGUGAUGGGGAAUCUGGAAGCUUUCUUCUCAAAUAAACCACUACUUUCUGAAUAUGGGGAUUGAUGGAUGUUUUAAUUAACUCUUCUAUUUGCAGAUGUUCAAGGUUGCCAUCACUGAGCCUUAUUGUCACCACAAGUGCUGGACUCAACCAAAUCGACUUGCAAGAGUGUCGUAGGAGAGGGAUAUCUGUAGCUUAUGCUGGAAGCCUGUUUUCUGAAGAUGAUGCUGAUAUAGCAGUAGGGCUGUUGAUUGAUGUGCCGAGAAAGAUAUAGACUGGUAAUCGUUAGGAGGCAAGAAAGUUGGGAUCGUUGGACUUGGAAGCAUUGGCCAAGAAGCUGCAAAAGGGCUAGAGCACUUUGGCUGCAAUAUCUUGAACAACUCGAGGACCAAGAAACUGCAAAAGGGCUAGAGCACUUUGGCUGCAAUAUCUUGAACAACUCAAGGACCAAGAAGCUGCAAAAGGGCUAGUUUUAAUCUAUAUAUCAACUGGAUUAUUGAUAUCCUGUUUCUAUGUAUGAUUGAUGGUUGUAAUUUGUUUUUCGUAAAGAUGUUCAAGGUUGUUUCAGUUAGGAGGCAAGAAAGUUGGGAUUGUUGGACUUGGAAGCAUUGGCCAAGAAGCUGCAAAAGGGCUAGAGCACUUUGGCUGCAAUAUCUUGAACAACUCAAGGACCAAGAAGUCAUCUGUGCCCUAUCCAUGCUAUUCAAAUGUCUGUGAACUAGUGGCAAAUUGCGAGGUCCUCAUAAUUUGUUGUGAAUUAAAUGAUCAGACUCGCCACAUGAUUAGCAAGGAAGUGUUAUAGAUGUCGGACGAGGGGCUGUUAUAGAUGGUGAGAUGCUUGAAUGAUGCAAGGAGAGAUCGCAGGUGAUGGAUUGGAUGUGUUUGAGAAUGAGCCUGAUGUUCCAAGUGAGCUCAUUGCAUUAGACAAUGUUGUCCUGUCGCCACAUAGAGCAGUCCACACCGAGGAAACUUUGAUGUCUUUAGUCGAACUUGUGAUGGGGAAUUUGGAAGCUUCCCCCCCCCCCCCAAAUAAACCUUUACUUUCUGCUGUAAUAUUGGAUGGAUGAACAAUACUAUAAUUCUCCCUGUUUGCAGCUGCUGGUUGGUCUGUCAUGAAUUAAUUCUAGUAUUUCGAUA